GCAAGUCGAGCGCUCUCUUCGGAGGGAGCGGCGGACGGGUGAGUAACGCGUAAGAAUCUACCUAGUAGUGGGGGACAACUCGAGGAAACUCGAGCUAAUACCGCAUACGCCCUACGGGGGAAAGCGGGGGACCUUCGGGCCUCGCGCUAUUAGAUGAGCUUGCGUUGGAUUAGCUUGUUGGUGAGGUAAUGGCUCACCAAGGCUACGAUCCAUAGCUGGUCUGAGAGGAUGAUC
This 234-nucleotide ribosomal RNA is filed under the name uncultured bacterium. RNAcentral describes it as "partial 16S ribosomal RNA". It matches the Rfam family "Bacterial small subunit ribosomal RNA", at positions 57 to 305 of the family's 1533-position model. The record is from RNAcentral.